Molecule: non-coding RNA, 1033 nt
Organism: Phascolarctos cinereus (koala)
Lineage: Eukaryota; Metazoa; Chordata; Mammalia; Diprotodontia; Phascolarctidae
Source: RefSeq, a predicted model, not a curated record
CGGGCUGCUGAGCCAGGUCAGAGGGCGGGUCCACGGCCGGAAGUGAGCGUCCCCUCGCAGGAAGGAGGCGUGAAAAAGAGAGGAACUGACCUCACAGCGGGGGUCACUUUGGGCCCCUCAAGGAAGAGGGAGUCAGCUGGAGAUGCUGGAGUUUGGAGAGAUGAAGGCUGGACCGAUGGACUAGGGGGUCGUUUGCACAGAGGACUGCAGCUGGGAGAAUGUCAGGGGGGUAGAAAGGAGGGGAGGGAUCCAGCCUGAGCCAAUGGGGGAGGGGUGGGACCAGCCACAAGGAGGAGAGACUGAAAGGGGAGGAUGAUAGAAGACAGCAGCAUCUGGCCAGCUUUGGGAGGAGAGGCUGCCAGGUCAAGGAGGAUGAGGAUGGAGAAAAGGCUAUGAGAUCGUGACAAUGAGAUGGACACAGGAAACCUUGGGGGACAGUUUCAUGAUAAAGGAGGAAACUGAGGCAGUCCAGGGACCGGUCACACCAACAGUAAACUGCUUUGCCAGACUUUGGCCCCAAGACCCUCAGGCCCCAUCUGAGAUACUGUCCCAGCGCACAGCACAACCCAGCUGCAUCAUCCCCGUCACAGGAGCUGUCUGGGCUCUACCAGGGCCUCAUGAGGACUGUAGACCAGCUAAGCAGGCCAGCUCCAGGGGUGGGCCCAGACUCCAGCUGAAUCAACAUUACCUUGGAGACCCACUCCUGGCCUUCCUACAUUCACCAGCCCUGGCUGCCCUCUCACAUCAUGACUCAGGCUGAGCAGCCGGGGCUUUGGACAGAGUGGAGAUGUCCACUGUCCCUCCCAGAGGGAAGACAGGAGUCAGUCCAUCUGAACCCUCUGCACCUAGCCGCUUUCCAAGGUGGUCGCAGCCCCGAGGAUGGCCAUUUCCUCGGGAUCCAAAGGCCUGGGGGUGAGCUCUGCUGGUGACCUGCCCUUGCCAUAGAUGGGACCUUGUGAAUGCCUCCAGCCAACCCCGACCCCAUCAGCCUCCCCCUCUGGGCUUGGGAAAAAUGAGUCAAUGCUCAGCCAAA